GGGGCGAGCGUUAUCCGGAUUCAUUGGGCGUAAAGCGCGCGCAGGCGGACCGUUAAGCGGGACCUCUAAUCCUGGGGCUCAACCUCAGGCCGGGUCCCGAACUGGCGAGCUCGAGUGCGGUAGGGGCAGGCGGAAUUCCCGGUGUAGCGGUGGAAUGCGCAGAUAUCGGGAAGAACACCGAUGGCGAAGGCAGCCUGCUGGGCCGACACUGACGCUGAGGCGCGAAAGCUAGGGGAGCGAAC
RNAcentral lists this ribosomal RNA (242 nucleotides) under uncultured bacterium. Its description in RNAcentral is "partial 16S ribosomal RNA". It matches the Rfam family "Bacterial small subunit ribosomal RNA", at positions 531 to 773 of the family's 1533-position model. The record is from RNAcentral.